This 395-nucleotide ribosomal RNA is filed under the name uncultured bacterium. Its description in RNAcentral is "bacterial SSU rRNA". It matches the Rfam family "Bacterial small subunit ribosomal RNA", at positions 505 to 898 of the family's 1533-position model. The record is from RNAcentral.
GUGCCAGCCGCCGCGGUAAAACGUAGGAGACAAGCGUUAUCCGAAUUUACUGGGCGUAAAGCGCGUGCAGGUGGUGCGGUAAGUUGCCUGUGAAAUCUCCUGGCUCAACUGGGAGAGGCCGGGCAAGACUGCCGGACUAGAGGGCGGUAGAGGGAGGUGGAAUUCCCGGUGUAGUGGUGAAAUGCGUAGAUAUCGGGAGGAACACCUGUGGCGAAAGCGGCCUCCUGGACCGCACCUGACGCUCAGACGCGAAAGCUAGGGGAGUGAACGGGAUUAGAAACCCCGGUAAUCCUAGCUGUAAACGAUGUGGACUGGGUGUCGGCGGGGUAAAAGCCGUCGGUGCCGAAGCCAACGCGAUAAGUCCACCGCCUGGGGACUACGGCCGCAAGGUUAAA